This 301-nucleotide ribosomal RNA is filed under the name uncultured bacterium. Its description in RNAcentral is "partial 16S ribosomal RNA". It matches the Rfam family "Bacterial small subunit ribosomal RNA", at positions 509 to 807 of the family's 1533-position model. The record is from RNAcentral.
CAGUAGCCGCGGUAAUACGUAGGGUGCGAGCGUUAAUCGGAAUUACUUGGCGUAAAGCGUGCGCAGGCGGUUCGUUAAGACAGAUGUGAAAUCCCCGGGCUUAACCUGGGAACUGCAUUUGUGACUGGCGAGCUAGAGUAUGGCAGAGGGGGGUAGAAUUCCACGUGUAGCAGUGAAAUGCGUAGAGAUGUGGAGGAAUACCGAUGGCGAAGGCAGCCCCCUGGGCCAAUACUGACGCUCAUGCACGAAAGCGUGGGGAGCAAACAGGAUUAGAUACCCCAGUAGUCCCUGUCUCUUAUAC